RNAcentral lists this ribosomal RNA (497 nucleotides) under uncultured bacterium. RNAcentral describes it as "partial 16S ribosomal RNA". It matches the Rfam family "Bacterial small subunit ribosomal RNA", at positions 28 to 507 of the family's 1533-position model. The record is from RNAcentral.
GAUGAACGCUGGCGGCGUGCCUAAUACAUGCAAGUCGAGCGAACGGACGAGAAGCUUGCUUCUCUGAUGUUAGCGGCGGACGGGUGAGUAACACGUGGAUAACCUACCUAUAAGACUGGGAUAACUUCGGGAAACCGGAGCUAAUACCGGAUAAUAUUUUGAACCGCAUGGUUCAAAAGUGAAAGACGGUCUUGCUGUCACUUAUAGAUGGAUCCUCGCUGCAUUAGCUAGUUGGUAAGGUAACGGCUUACCAAGGCAACGAUGCAUAGCCGACCUGAGAGGGGGAAAGGCCACACUGGAACUGAGACACGUUCCAGACUCCUACGGGAGGAAGCAGUAGGGAAUCUUCCGCAAUGGGCGAAAGCCUGACGGAGCAACGCCGCGUGAGUGAUGAUGGUCUUCGGAUCGUAAAACUCUGUUAUUAGGGAAGAACAUAUGUGUAAGUAACUGUGCACAGCUUGACGGUACCUAAUCAGAAAGCCACGGCUAACUACGUG